UACGGAGGAUGCGAGCGUUAUCCGGAUUUAUUGGGUUUAAAGGGUGCGUAGGCGGUCUCUUAAGUCAGCGGUCAAAGCCCGGGGCUCAACCCCGGCCCGCCGUUGAAACUGGCUUGCUUGAGUUGGAGAGAAGUAGGCGGAAUGCGCGGUGUAGCGGUGAAAUGCUUAGAUAUCGCGCAGAACCCCGAUUGCGAAGGCAGCCUGCCGGCUCCACACUGACGCUGAGGCACGAAGGUGCGGGUAUCGAA
RNAcentral lists this ribosomal RNA (248 nucleotides) under uncultured Muribaculaceae bacterium. Its description in RNAcentral is "partial 16S ribosomal RNA". It matches the Rfam family "Bacterial small subunit ribosomal RNA", at positions 524 to 772 of the family's 1533-position model. Lineage: Bacteria; Pseudomonadati; Bacteroidota; Bacteroidia; Bacteroidales; Muribaculaceae. The record is from RNAcentral.